GUGCUGGGGAGGGGAAGCGAAGGGGCGGGACCUGGCCGCGGGCUGCCCGCAGAGCUUCCCUCGCUCCUUCCCGGGGGCUGUCAGCGCGGGCUCCGCCCCCUCGUCCUUCCAAUCGCUCUCGGCCCCGCCUCCCCCGCCCUCCCGUUCUCCGCCCACUUCAGCUGUCGCUGCGCAGCGGCAGUUCUGUUCCGUCUCGCCUUCCUGCUGCGGUCUUCUGCCGCUUACUGUCCAACUUUGGAGUUUUCUUGCCUUUUUUUCUCUCAGAGUUGAGCCCCUGCCCGGCCCUUUAGUCCCUCGGUCACGAGGAACGGUGGAGUUUAGAACCUGCGAUGGAACUCACCAGAGACCAGAUAGCUAGAGAAUGGCUGAACUGGGUUUUAAAUCUAGUCAAUCUUGACCCCAGAGCUCUCCAGCCUAAAGGUUGCCUCAUUAUUCAAAAUGGCUGCCAAGACUCUAAGCAUCAUACAUCCCAUUUCACUCAACAGAAAGGAAAAAGCACCCUUCUAUCAUAGAGGUCAUCAUCCACAUUCCACAGAUGAGAAAAGAAAGCUUGGAGAAGGAGGCUCCAGGCUGCACACCUAUUGCUGAGGAGAGCUGAAAUUCCAACCAUGUUUCUCCAGCUCCAAAGUCUGUGCCUCUACCACUUGAUAUAAAAGACCAUGUGAUCACAUCACUAGCUACAAACAGCUCUAACUAAAUGGUCCCAGUACUUAAGGAAUACCUUUGAGAAGGAUGGACGAAUAUGAAGAAACUAAGGAGCAAAGGAAUCAAGGAUUUCUUCCAGUCCACCUGGGAAGUUAGCUGCAUAGUUAGAAAUAGAACUUUAGACUCCUGGCCUGUUUUCCAAACCACAGAUAUGCUUGGUUUAUGCAGGUAAGGUUUUAGUUUGGGGUGUUGUUUUUAAACAAAUGCCCUGAAACUAUGCUAGGGGCAGGCAAAGUUUGUGGGUAUUAGAGACCAAAUGACCGUGAAAUCAUAGCAUCAGUAUGUGCGGUGUUUUAGGAAUGUCAAUGUGGCUCAAAAAGAAUUUCUGUGAAAAAUAUGGACUCUCAACUCUCCUCUCCAAGGCAUCUUUAGUUAAUAACCAGUUAGGAGACUGAGCCCCAAAACUGUCUCUUACCCAUUCCAAUGUAUAUGAAAGGCUAGAUGCUAUGAAUGUGGUGAUAACAUCUGCCAGAAACCUCUAUCAUUCAUUUUAUCCUUGUGACUUCUCUGGUAACUCAACAUCUUAAAGGAUGAAAUUUUCUUUUUAUUGCAAAGUUUCAGAGUCACUUCAGACUUCAGUGAGAUCAUAGCAUGCGUUUCUCUUGGACUAGGACCAGGCAAACAGUCUCACUGCGUCACAGUCAGGGCAGGGACUCCCUCCAUCCCCAGGCCAGCCUUAUUAUGUACAAAUGUGCUACCUUUUCACCUAAAGUAUAAAUAAAGUAAAGGUUUAUUCUUGUUCCAGUUUCAAUUUGACCAAGCUUCCACCAGAGCCAUACACCUGUUACUGCAUUUGUUUACUAUGCUGUAGAACUUUCUGCAGAAUAUAACCCUUGCUCAUUCCUCAUAUUGUACA
Pongo pygmaeus (Bornean orangutan) is the source of this 1561-nucleotide long non-coding RNA. RefSeq lists it as uncharacterized. The record is from RefSeq and is a predicted model, not a curated record. Lineage: Eukaryota; Metazoa; Chordata; Mammalia; Primates; Hominidae. The transcript has 5 exons.